GAAGGUCACGGCGAGACGAGCCGUUUAUCAUUACGAUAGGUGUCAAGUGGAAGUGCAGUGAUGUAUGCAGCUGAGGCAUCCUAACAGACCGGUAGACUUGAACCUUGUUCCUACAUGACCCGAUCAAUUCGAUCGGGCACUCGCCAUCUAUUUUCAUUGUUCUACUCUUUAUCUUUAACAACACGAAAAACCCAUUGUUCAACUCUUUGACAACAUGAAAAACCAAAAGCUCUGCCCUCCCUCUCUAUCUAUCCAAGGGAUGGAAGGGCAG
RNAcentral lists this ribosomal RNA (271 nucleotides) under Petasites japonicus. RNAcentral's name for it is "4.5S ribosomal RNA". Lineage: Eukaryota; Viridiplantae; Streptophyta; Magnoliopsida; Asterales; Asteraceae. The record is from RNAcentral.